RNAcentral lists this unclassified non-coding RNA (1563 nucleotides) under Hevea brasiliensis (rubber tree). Lineage: Eukaryota; Viridiplantae; Streptophyta; Magnoliopsida; Malpighiales; Euphorbiaceae. The record is from RNAcentral.
GUGCAAAUCACCAUUCUCUAAAAAUUUGAUAACAUAAUCUUUGUCCUUCCCAACAAAUAAUGAAGAAAUAAGGAGGAACAACCUCCGGUCAUGAUCAUCUAGAGACUUGUAGCUUAUCUCAAGAUUCUUUUGAACUCUGCUAUGAGGGAUUGCUUCCAAUUUCUGCAAUUUACUCCUCCAUAUAUCCGUACCUCUCCCUGAAAGAAAUGAACCCAAAUCAUAAAGAGCUAACGGAAGCCCACAGCAAUGCUGUAUUGCUUCUGUUGAAAGCAUCUUGAACUCUUCUAAUGGGUGGUCUUGUGCAAAAGCAUACCAACUGAAGAGCUUUAGAGACUCGUCAUCUCCAAGUUCCUUUAUCUUGAAUAGCAUGUGCCUCUCAUAGGACUUCAAUAGUUUCUCACACCUUGUCGUAAUGAGAAUUUUACUCCCCGGAUAAAACCAAUCCCUUGUUCCAAUAAGUGAAUCUAAGACAUCCAGCUGAUCCACAUCAUCAAAUACAAUAAAAACCUUUUUGUUGCCAAUAGCAUCUUUCAUUUUGACAAUUCCUUCAUCAGCAUUGUAUAUUUUUUCCUUUCUGCCUUUCAAAAUACUUUCGAAAAUUUGUUUUUGCAAAUAAACCUGACCAUUUGGAUGUUUCUCAGAGAUUUCUCUGACAUUUGCAAGAAAGCAACUCCCAUCAAAUCUAUCAUAAUUAGAGUUGUAAGCUACUUUAGCAACAGUAGUCUUUCCAACGCCACCAAGUCCACAGAUCAUCCCAAUGCCAACUUCACUGGAUUCAUCCUGUAACCAUGAGUUAAUGUCCUUCACUCGAGCCUCUAGUCCAACUGUGUAUGAAGGUACACUAAGUACUGUGCGAUUCAAUCUUUUGAGUAUCUCCUUAAUGAUCUUUUGGAUGAAUUUUGCCUCAUGCCCGUCUACUUCUUUGGCUAAGCACAUUCCUUCCAAUUCAGCAACUUCCUUCAGAGCUAAUCUCCAUUUCUCCAUCUUCUCCAUCCAUUCCUUUCUUUUCUCUCCACUCUCUGCAUUUCCUCUCUUUUCAUGAUUCACAAAAGCUUCAGCAAAACUUCCACUUUGGUUCUGAACAUCCUCAGGGCUGACAGUGUAAAAAACAGGCAAGACAGUAUGACCCUCUUUCUUUCUUCGAUCAAGAAUGUUGACAAGCUCAUCAAGACACCAUCUUGAAGAAGCGUAGUCUUUAGAGAAGACAAUUAGUGAAAUCUUGGAUUCUCGAAUACCCUUUUGCAGUUCAGAUUCUAUGUUUUCUCCCCUGCGGAUUUCGUCAUCAUCUCGAAAAGUUCGAAUUCCAGCGUUGAUGAGAGCUGUGUAGAGAUGAUCAGUAAAGUUUUUCCGGGUGUCUUCGCCUCUAAAACUCAAGAAAACAUGGAAAGAAUAACGGUUUUGUGGGGUUGCCAUUGAAAAAAGUCCAAGAAAACGAUGACACAACUGAGAGUUGAUGCAAAGACAAAGAGGAUAAUGAUCCAAUUGAGAUUUUGACAAUGAAAACUAGACAAGGAAAAUAGGAAAACUGAGAACUUUGAGGACUCAAGUCAAUGGAAAGGCCCG